This is a long non-coding RNA of Amblyraja radiata (thorny skate), 108 nucleotides long. RefSeq lists it as uncharacterized. The record is from RefSeq and is a predicted model, not a curated record. The transcript has 3 exons. Lineage: Eukaryota; Metazoa; Chordata; Chondrichthyes; Rajiformes; Rajidae.
UUCAUGCCAUACGUAGUAAGUUUGCAGAUGACACUAAAGUGGGUGGUAUUGUAUAUAGCAAAGACGGUUGUCAAAAAUUGUAGCAAGAUCUUGAUCUGUUGGGCAAGA